AGCGCUUGUGGGGCAUUCCUUUUUGAACAGUAUCCAUUCCUUUGAUGUCUACAAUAUCGCCUUUCUUGUGGAUUCCCAUGUAUGUGGCCAAAGGAACAAUUCUAUGUUUUCUAAAAGGCCAAGAGAACAAUUAUCAGCCAGGCACGGUGGUUUAUGCCUGUAAUCUCAGAACUUCGGGAAACUGAGACGGGAGGAUUGCUUGAGGCCAGGAGUUUGACACCAGCCUGGACAGCAUGGACUCAAACAGGAAUCCAGAGACUCAUUUGCACUGGGAGACAAACUGAAAUGACAGUCUCAUGCCAUCCUCCUUGAUAAAGAACACUUUCAUCUUAUGCCCAUGUACAAGUUUCAAUUGUUGCAUAACAAAUUACCACAAAUUCAGCAACUUAACACAAUGCUCAUUUAUUAUUUCACAGUUCUAUAGAUCUAGGCACCCUGGACCGGGUUCUCUGCAUAGGUCUCACAAGGCCAAAACAAAGAUAAGCCAGGCUGGGCUUAUAUCUGCAAGUUUUGAGGAAGAAUCUGCUUCUAAGAUCAUUCAAAUUGUUGGCAGAAUUUAGCAUCCUUGUGACUGUAGGACUGAGAUCCACACUCCCUUGUUGGCUGUCCACCAGGGGUCACUGUCACUCCUCAUGGUCUCCCUCCAGUUUUUGACCACAGCCCCUCCAUCCUCACAGCCAGCAAUAGUGUAUAGAUUUCUUUUUGUGCUUUGACUCUCUGAUUUCUUUUUCUGCCACCAGCCAAACAAAAUUUUUUGCCUCUCAAGGGUUUGUGUGAUUAGAUUAGGCCCACUCGAAUAACUUUGCAUUUGAUAAACUCAAAGUCAACUGAUUAGUGACUUUAUGUCUACAGAAUCCCUUUGCUGAAUAAGAUAACAUAAUCCAGACAUGUUAGCUCAUUGUACUCAGAGGUCCAAGAAUCAGGGCAGACAGUCUUCAGGGGCUGCCUUAGAAUCAUGCCUGCCAUGGCUCUGCUCAUUUCACUUUUGCCACCUUUAGGAUGAGUUAGCUCUUAAACAUUUCCGAAAAAGUAGGUUUCUGGUGAAACUUCUUCCCUCCCUUGAAGUUUAUGUCCAGAUGUAACAGAAUUUUAAAUUACAUUGUAGUUGAGACACUUUACACACACACAACCACACACACACACACAUACACACACACAGAGUCCAUCUUCAAAACAGCUUUUGACUGUUAACAUGAUUCUUUCAAUUUGGAGGGAUGCUUAAAUGUUCCGCCAUAAAAACAUUUAGCUCUUUUUGCAAUAUUUCAUUAGAGGAGAAGACUAUCUUUAAAAGAAACAAGUUCAAAUGAUUCCUAAGAGUCUUGAAGUAUUUUCAAAACAGUGUUUUCUAAAUCUUUUCAAAAUGCCAGCAGUUCUUGAUAAAUGAAAGGUCAUGUUAAUUCUUUUGGCAUUUAAAUCAGCACCUUUAACAUGAUUAAUUGACUUAGCAUUUAAUACCUGAUUGUGCAUUCCACUGUUAUUAUAUGGAAAUACUGAUUUGGAUCCAGAAGAAUAUUAAAACAAUUAUUAAUUUA
Molecule: long non-coding RNA, 1532 nt
Organism: Pan troglodytes (chimpanzee)
Lineage: Eukaryota; Metazoa; Chordata; Mammalia; Primates; Hominidae
Exons: 3
Source: RefSeq, a predicted model, not a curated record